GCGCCUGUAGCUCAGCUGGACAGAGCAGCGGCCUUCUAAGCCGCAAGUCGGGGGUUCGAAUCCUCCCAGGCGCG
This 74-nucleotide transfer RNA is filed under the name Candidatus Bipolaricaulota bacterium. RNAcentral describes it as "tRNA-Arg". It matches the Rfam family "tRNA". Rfam says of the family: Transfer RNA (tRNA) molecules are approximately 80 nucleotides in length. Their secondary structure includes four short double-helical elements and three loops (D, anti-codon, and T loops). Further hydrogen bonds mediate the characteristic L-shaped molecular structure. tRNAs have two regions of fundamental functional importance: the anti-codon, which is responsible for specific mRNA codon recognition, and the 3' end, to which the tRNAs corresponding amino acid is attached (by aminoacyl-tRNA synthetases). tRNAs cope with the degeneracy of the genetic code in two manners: having more than one tRNA (with a specific anti-codon) for a particular amino acid; and 'wobble' base-pairing, i.e. permitting non-standard base-pairing at the 3rd anti-codon position. The record is from RNAcentral. Lineage: Bacteria; Candidatus Bipolaricaulota.